ACGUAGGGGGCAAGCGUUGUCCGGAUUUACUGGGCGUAAAGAGCGCGUAGGCGGAAGCUUAAGUGUGGCCUGAAAGCCCCCGGCUCAACCGGGGAGGGUGGCUGCAAACUGGGUUUCUUGAGGGGGAUAGAGGAGAGUGGAAUUCCUGGUGUAGCGGUGAAAUGCGUAGAGAUCAGGAGGAACACCCGUGGCGAAGGCGGCUCACUGGCCCGAUACUGACGCUGAGGUGCGAAAGCGUGGGGAGCAAACAGGA
RNAcentral lists this ribosomal RNA (253 nucleotides) under uncultured prokaryote. Its description in RNAcentral is "partial 16S ribosomal RNA". It matches the Rfam family "Bacterial small subunit ribosomal RNA", at positions 525 to 777 of the family's 1533-position model. The record is from RNAcentral.